CACUUAGCGGCGUUGAGAGAUUGUAUGUUUUAGCAACAGUUGUGUGUGGUAAAUUUCAAGUCUGUAGGAAACCUAAAGUACGCGAAGAUGGCUGAGUAUCUGGCCUCAAUUUUCGGCACGGAGAAGGACAAAGUAAAUUGUUCCUUCUACUUUAAGAUCGGAGCGUGUCGUCAUGGGGAUCGCUGCUCACGAAUCCACAACAAGCCGACAUUUUCGCAGACUAUUCUUUUGCAGAAUCUCUAUCAUAAUCCGCAAAACACCGCGCAAACGGCUGACGGCUCACAUACGAAUAUGACAGAGGAGGAAAUGCAGGAACACUUCGACAACUUUUUUGAGGAUGUCUUCGUUGAACUGGAAGACAAAUACGGCGAGAUCGAAGAGAUGAACGUCUGCGAUAACCUUGGAGAUCAUUUGGUCGGCAAUGUCUAUGUGAAGUUUCGGCGUGAAGAUGACGCUGAGAAGGCAGUACGAGAACUAAACAACCGCUGGUUCGCCGGGAGACCUGUUGUAGCUGAAUUGUCGCCUGUAACGGACUUCCGUGAGGCCUGUUGCCGUCAGUACGAGAUGGGCUCUCGACAGCUGAGCGAUCUCUCCAUCCGUCGGAGCGCCAGCGUGCGUCCGUUGACGCGAGGCUGUCGCGCUGGGCGCGUCCUCUCCAGACCUCAAACACACUCACUCAACUCGAGACGUUUCGUUUUAAGCAGGGCCCAUAUUUCUCGACUUAUGUCUUUUCCAGCAACUAACGUUAACUGCAGCAAGAAUAGCAGCAGAUCCAGUAUUACGACCACUUCCAGAAAAAUAUAUAUGAGUAAUUGCCUCCGUUUAGCCGCAUUCUCGCCUUUAACAAUAGAAGACACACUCUAACCACCUCCACCCUUCCCCGAUAGAUGGAGAUUGUAUUAAUUUUCAGCAAAAAGCCAACACGUAUGACGAAACGACGAGCGAAACCAGGAUCUGGUCUGUGUUUCUGGCUCGUGUCGCACAGAAUGAGUAGCCUCUAUAAUUUACCAUGCCAUGUUACCUUAAGUUAUUUUCGUAUUCUUGUUAUUCUUAUUGCUAACGAAGCCGUUUGUGUUAAAGCAGCGAAGUACUCGCGCCACACGAGCUCUCAGUUCAGAAAACUGAUAGCUGGCAGUCUUUAGUUGAUAAAGUAGUUUUGUAGACCACCGAAAUUACUUGCUGUCGAAAAUCAAAAUCAGAAACAUUCCUAAUUAUAAUUAGAACAUUGCUCCCCUUUCCCCCACUUCUUGUUUUUAGCAACGACAGAAACAGGUUUGAGCGCAUCUUUGUAGUCCUCUCGUGUUUGCAGGGAGUUUGACAACCUUUUCAGGGUUUCGUUCCUUUCAGGCUAUAAUGGAGUGGGCGAUAGUAAGCGUCCGUCCGAUUUGUGUUUACAGAUCGCGAGGCAUUCAGGUUUUUUUUCUGUUCCCACAGGGUUUUUGUCUAUCUCUAUUUCAGCAGAAAAGCGGGAAACGAGAAAUACGUUCUUUUAGGUACAGACGAACAUACCAAAUUGACCUGAAGGACGGCGAUAUAUAUGUUCACGAUGUAAUAGGUUGAAUCGUUACAGUUUACAGAUAGCGACGACAGCAGCAUGCAUUUGGAGGCAAUAUGUUUCGGUAGGCGGGCUAAGGGAUCAGUUUCACUAACAACAUUAGCGUGUUGUUUAAACUGGAUACAAAGGGCGCGUUCAGCAUGAUACACAGGGGGUAACUGUAUGCCAGUGUCGACCCAGCGGAUUACAACUGGGAUACGUCUGAGAUGUAGAAAAAACUGUCUUCUAGAUGCAAAUGUGGAGAAAGUAUGUGUCUGUGCGUCUGAAUGUGUCUGUGUGUGUGUGUGUGUAUCCAGCGAACAACAUAAAAAUGGACCGAUAAACGGAAGAGAUGCAGUAAAUGUAAGCUUGCAUGUUGGGGGGGGGGGGGGGGGGGGGGGGUGAAGUAAAUCACCUUGUGACCGUAACAUGGUUGGUGGGAUGGUGUCAGUAGUCACUUGUCAUCGAUUACGCUUUAUAGAACUUAACGCAGGGCAAACACGGUGUGCGAGCCGAAGCACCUCGUCGUCAUCAACUUGUCUCAUUAGUAUGGUAUAAUUUUGUUCUAGUAUAAUAUAGCUGAGUAGAGCACUUUAUCGAUAAAAAUCCGUUUGUAUCAAACUAGAUAGCUUUGUGAUGAUAACUCUGAUGUGCCUAUCACGUGGCUACAUUUGCCUGCACAUUUGCGACCAUGUAUGUGUCGAUAUUAUAAGUAUCCAUAAACAUUUGCUUGAUACGGCAUGUAUCCGCCCAUAAGUGGACCCUGCAAGAUAUUUUCUUUUAACAGAGUCUUUUGAGUUAACAGUUUACAGUUACAGAGUUACAGUAUUAUUGUUGGCAUGUCAUUGAUCGCCUCUGUCGCUCUGUCUAUCUAUCUUUUACUUUCUCCAUUUUUGCCGCCUGCCAAAAAGAUUUUCAUUCAAACGAAGGACAGUUCUGGGUAUCAGGGGGGAGGGUUGGGGGGUGUUGUUUAAAGAGUUUCAGUCUAAGUCGCCUAGUCCCUUUCAGCUAGAUGCAACUCCGAGGAAGGCCGACCGAGGCAUCUCUAAUAAGUUCAGCCUAUCUCUGUUGGUUUAAGCUUGAAAGCAAAUGGCGUGCGGAAACGAGGGGCCGGCGUGAUGUCCGAGGAGUGCACUCGUUCGGGAUUCUGCAACUUCAUGCACCUGCGACCGAUUUCG
Molecule: non-coding RNA, 2712 nt
Organism: Varroa destructor (honeybee mite)
Lineage: Eukaryota; Metazoa; Arthropoda; Arachnida; Mesostigmata; Varroidae
Source: RefSeq, a predicted model, not a curated record